ACGAACGCUGGCGGCGUGCUUAACACAUGCCAGUCGAACGGAAAGGCCCUGCUUUUGUGGGGUGCUCGAGUGGCGAACGGGUGAGUAACACGUGAGUAACCUGCCCUUGACUUUGGGAUAACUUCAGGAAACUGGGGCUAAUACCGGAUAGGAGCUCCUGCUGCAUGGUGGGGGUUGGAAAGUUUCGGCGGUUGGGGAUGGACUCGCGGCUUAUCAGCUUGUUGGUGGGGUAGUGGCUUACCAAGGCUUUGACGGGUAGCCGGCCUGAGAGGGUGACCGGCCACAUUGGGACUGAGAUACGGCCCAGACUCCUACGGGAGGCAGCAGUGGGGAAUAUUGCACAAUGGGCGGAAGCCUGAUGCAGCAACGCCGCGUGCGGGAUGACGGCCUUCGGGUUGUAAACCGCUUCCGCCUGUGACGAAGCGUGAGUGACGGUAAUGGGUAAAGAAGCACCGGCUAACUACGUG
RNAcentral lists this ribosomal RNA (467 nucleotides) under uncultured bacterium. Its description in RNAcentral is "partial 16S ribosomal RNA". It matches the Rfam family "Bacterial small subunit ribosomal RNA", at positions 29 to 507 of the family's 1533-position model. The record is from RNAcentral.